Acanthosepion pharaonis is the source of this 113-nucleotide non-coding RNA. The record is from the annotation of a GenBank genome assembly. NCBI's taxonomy places the organism in Eukaryota, Metazoa, Mollusca, Cephalopoda, Sepiida, Sepiidae.
UAUGGCCAUAUCAUGUUGAAACAUGGGUUCCCAUUUGAUCACUGAAGUUAAGCAAUGUUGAGCCUGGUCAGUACCUAGCAGGGUGACUGCUUAGAAAUAUCAGGUGCUGUAAU